UUAGUACUCCCUGUGUCCCGAAAUUUUUGUCUUAGAUUUGUCUAGAAAUAGAUGUAUCUGAAUACUAAAACGCGGCUAGAUACAUUCAUAUUUAGACAAAUGUAAGAUAAGAAUUUUAAGACGGAGGAGUACUUA
Hordeum vulgare subsp. vulgare (domesticated barley) is the source of this 135-nucleotide non-coding RNA. NCBI's taxonomy places the organism in Eukaryota, Viridiplantae, Streptophyta, Magnoliopsida, Poales, Poaceae. The record is from Rfam.